UACAGAGGUGGCAAGCGUUAUCCGGAUUUACUGGGUUUAAAGGGUGCGUAGGUGGGUAGGUAAGUCAGUGGUGAAAUCUUCGAGCUUAACUCGGAAACUGCCAUUGAUACUAUUUAUCUUGAAUACUCUGGAGGUAAGCGGAAUAUGUCAUGUAGCGGUGAAAUGCUUAGAUAUGACAUAGAACACCAAUUGCGAAGGCAGCUUACUACAUAGUUAUUGACACUGAGGCACGAAAGCGUGGGGAUCAAACAGG
This 253-nucleotide ribosomal RNA is filed under the name uncultured bacterium. RNAcentral's name for it is "partial 16S ribosomal RNA". It matches the Rfam family "Bacterial small subunit ribosomal RNA", at positions 524 to 776 of the family's 1533-position model. The record is from RNAcentral.